Molecule: ribosomal RNA, 509 nt
Filed under: uncultured bacterium
Lineage: Bacteria
Description: bacterial SSU rRNA
Rfam family: Bacterial small subunit ribosomal RNA
Source: RNAcentral
AACGAACGCUGGCGGCGCGUCUUAAGCAUGCAAGUCGGACGGCAAGGCGGGAGCUUGCUCCUGCCCUAGAGUGGCGGACUGGUGAGUAACACGUGGGUGACAUACCCUCUGGUUGGGGAUAGCCGGUAGAAAUACCGGAUAAUACCGAAUACGAACGCACAGGUUAGAGUGGUGCGAGGAAAGGAGUUACGGCUUCGCCGGAGGAUUGGCCCGCGGCCCAUUAGCUAGUUGGAGUGGUAAAGGCACACCAAGGCAAUGAUGGGUAUCCGGCCUGAGAGGGUGAUCGGACACAUUGGGACUGAGAUACGGCCCAGACUCCUACGGGAGGCAGCAGCUAAGAAUAUUCCGCAAAUGGACGAAAGUCUGACGGAGCGACGCCGCGUGGAUGAGGAAGGCCGGAAGGUUGUAAAGUCCUUUUGGGCGCAAAGAAUAAGUACGCGAGGAAAUGCGCGUGCGGUGACGGUAGCGCCUGAAUAAGCAACGGCUAAUUACGUGCCAGCAGCCGACGG